This 206-nucleotide long non-coding RNA is filed under the name Elaeis guineensis (African oil palm). RNAcentral describes it as "long non-coding RNA (EGUI_LNC032372)". The record is from RNAcentral. Lineage: Eukaryota; Viridiplantae; Streptophyta; Magnoliopsida; Arecales; Arecaceae.
GGUUUUAUGCUUGCAUGAGUUUUUGAAUGAAAAAAUAUUUUCUUAUGUUUAGAAAUAUAAUAUAAAAAUUUAUUAAAAAAUAUUAUAAAAAUAAGUAUGUUGGUUAUGAGAAAAAUUCUCUACUUAGACUAUAAUUUGGAUCUAGAUAAUGGGAUUGAUCAUUAGCCAUAUGAUUAAAAACUAAUUUCUUCUGGAUCUAGCCAGUC